CUCUUUAUGAUGGGUGGGGGAAGGAGCCUGGGUCAGGGCUGCAGCUAGAAGCUGGAUAAAAGGCAAGAGAAUUCUGAGGAUGGAACUUGAGCUGGCCUGUCUGAAGGAAGCCUAAGGAGAGCUGGGCUGUGCACUGCGGCAGGAGCCUCUGAGGUUGUCUUCGAAUGGUAUAUUCUCCUCUCCCCAGCUAGCCUGCACUGCUGGGCUGCUGCACAGUACAAGACAAGCUGGGUCAAGUGAGCUUUGGACAUCAAGUAUUCCUGAAGCAGACACAGGAGAUGAAAAACGGGUACCCAGCAUCAAACCCGAAAGGAUUAAGUAGCUGCUGUGGGCUCAAAAAGAACUCCACCCCCACCAGAUCUGCAAGGCAUCCUUGAGCUGCGGGAAGGAGCAGGAAGGGAGAAGCCCAGUGCAGUCCUGGGCGGGGGGGAAAUCGCUAAAGCCUGAGCUCCAUUGGAGAAGCCUACUCACACGACUACAGACUGUCCAAGGCCUCUGAGAAGGAGGUGGGCUAGACUCCAAACGAUUACCUGUGGGUACUUUUCUGGUGGUUUGCCUGAGGGCACUGAGCUGGACUGUGGCUGGUCAGUGGCUCCCUGAAGGAAUGGAGGGUCGCAGCAUUUUUGGGACAGUUUUUAUUUCCCCAUAAAUUUCCCUCCCCCCCUUCUCUUCUAUGGAACCCAGAAAGGGUAAGUUCCAGCGGAACCCAGCUGGAGGGAUGAGUUUCCAUCCCCAGUCCACAGCACUGCUGGCUGCGUAGGUGAGGGAGUCCCCAUCCCACCCCAAAGCAGUGCUGUGGAGGGACUUAAGCCAAUGACACACACUUAAAGUGCUAGGAGUCUUGCUGCCUCUCUCUGGUCAGCCAAGCACCGAGCACAUUAACCAUUCAGUUAUUCCUUUAGGCUGUAAGUCCCUAGUGCACACAAGGAAAGAAGAAUCCAAAAUGCAUUUACAGCUCAUCAGGGAAAGGAAAAAUACAUUCCCAACCAUACCUUCUUUAGGAAGUUCAUGGUCAAGGAAUCUUAGUAGGGGAAAAAACAUGACAGUGACUGCACAAGGAUGUUUCUUACAAAUUCCAGAGCAGCCUGUCAACACAGAUGUGGACUUUUCCUUCCCAGAUAUUAGUCUGGUGCCCUCAAAAUGAUUACUGCAAAGUGGGGUUCUCAUACCAUCUGUUUUGUAUUUAUUUAUUUAUUUAUUUAGCCUCACACUGCCACCUCUGAGGCAAUCACACCCUUUCUGUGCUAUGAUGACCAGUAUUGCGCACUGCAGAUCUGAUCCAAGCCCAGGGGAGACAGUACACUGACUUCAGUGGACUUUGGAUCAGCCCUGUAUGUGAGGCACCAAAUUGAAGUCAAUGGAGUUACACCCAGGAUGAAUUUGGUUGAAGGUCUACAUGUGCCAACAGAAUCACCUCCGCCAAUACAGCCUACCAUAGGAACUUGUUUAUGUGCUCUUGGUUUCAACUACUUUCCUACAGUAACUGCCAAAUCCUUUCCUCUUCAGCGUGCUGAAUGCUGCCUUGUUCUGUUUAGCAAAUAUCCACUAGCUUGAAUCUUACCUCUGAUUACUAAUUAUUGUAUGUUUGUCUGCAAUGAACUACAUGUUGCAUCUGAUGGUCCAAUUAUAUAAAUGAUCCAGAUUUUUUCCCUUGAACCUCAUUUUUUCCCUUAUGAUUCAGUCUAGACAGGGAAGAGUAAUUAUGUACUUUUUAUGCAAAACUGACAAUUUCUGGUUGUUUUACAGUUUUAAAGAUUAACUACAGAAUAAUCUGCUGUGCUCUUAGUUUA
Long non-coding RNA from Mauremys reevesii (Reeves's turtle), 1790 nucleotides. RefSeq lists it as uncharacterized. Lineage: Eukaryota; Metazoa; Chordata; Testudines; Geoemydidae. The record is from RefSeq and is a predicted model, not a curated record. The transcript has 4 exons.